UCGUGCUUUACAUAUCGUCUGAGGAGAACAAAAAAUGUCGUUAGUUUUUGGAAUUAUGUCAUCAGUUCAUUUAUCUGAUGAUUUUUGCAGAUGUUUUUUUUUCUUCCUGGAACAAGACAUCUCGACAUCUUUAUGACAUAAUGGAUUAUUUGUUUAAAAACACGGAUUAAGAGAAAAUUAACUCUGAUUCAUUACAGGAUCAGCUGUGCAAGGUUCGAAAAGGGGAUUCAAGGCUCCGAUUCAAUCUGAGGAAAAUCCAAGGGGCCAAAAUGGAUGGAUCAUAUUUGAGGACAGAUCAUACAGACUAUCUCUGUUGGAUGGCGACAUUGAGGACCAUAGCCAUCAAAACUCAGUCCACCUUGAAUCACUGAGGGCACCUAUUCAAUGUGUGGAAAAUCCAAGGGGCCAAAAUGGAUGCGUCAUAUUUGAGGACAGAUCAUACAGACGACCUCUGUUGGAUGCCAACAUCGAGGACGAUGGCCAUCAAAACCCAGUCCAUCCUGAAUCACUGAGGGCUCCUAUUCAAUGUCAGGAAAAUCCAGAGGGCCAACAUGGAUGCGUCAUAUUUGAGAGCAGUUCACAGAGUCUACCAUAUGGCCAUCGAAGCUCAGAGCAUCAUCAAGAUAAUAUAUCACCAAGGGUUUCAGUUCAGUGUCAGGAGGAUCAGCAUGUGCUGCAUGGAUUAAUCGAUCAAUUAAACCAUCUCAUACAACCUCUUGUGGAAGAAGACAGUGAGGAUGAGUGGAUCCAUGAAGAUUUUUUAAUUAUGUACAUAACCUGAUAUAUUAAAUGCUAUAUACUGAUUUUGUAUUAAAGUCUUUCAUUUAUGUGUUA
Neoarius graeffei (lesser salmon catfish) is the source of this 834-nucleotide long non-coding RNA. RefSeq lists it as uncharacterized. The record is from RefSeq and is a predicted model, not a curated record. NCBI's taxonomy places the organism in Eukaryota, Metazoa, Chordata, Actinopteri, Siluriformes, Ariidae. The transcript is spliced from 5 exons.